GCCAAUUUGAUAGGAAGUACAGUGUUCUGAGCUGCCAAAGCCGUGCUCGAUCCAGCCAAUGAGAUGUACUUUAACUACAGAAGUGAAGGAGACAGACACAGCACUGGGACCCACGGAAGCUCAGCAAACAUGGCCGACACACAGACCUGGGAGUCAAAAUGUCAGAAGGAUCAUGAAGCGCUGGAGAUGAGGGAUGUCAGACACAGAAGAGCCUCAGUGAGACGACUAGGGAGACUUGUGGGAAGAGAGCCUUUAAUUUGCAAGGGUCGCAAUUGUUGUGAAUUUAACUUUCUCACCGACGUACAAGAAUGGAAUUGAC
Molecule: long non-coding RNA, 319 nt
Filed under: Felis catus (domestic cat)
Lineage: Eukaryota; Metazoa; Chordata; Mammalia; Carnivora; Felidae
Description: lncRNA (ENSFCAG00000042805.2)
Source: RNAcentral